RNAcentral lists this long non-coding RNA (554 nucleotides) under Capsella rubella. RNAcentral describes it as "long non-coding RNA (CRUB_LNC004184)". Lineage: Eukaryota; Viridiplantae; Streptophyta; Magnoliopsida; Brassicales; Brassicaceae. The record is from RNAcentral.
UUGAUUCAUCGCCGCUAAGUGGUUAACUAAUACCGUUUCGGUAUAUGUUGAUUUUGGCUGAUGUCAUAUAGUUUAGGGUGAGAGUUUAAUUUUUUGUGAGUUUAGGUUGUUAUUUGCCGGAUAUCGUAGUUUGGGUAUAAAAAUACGGUCAGCAAAUAGUCUGUGUUGAUUUUAGCUAUUUUCCCCGGUUAAAACCUAUGUAUAUCCAAUGAAAUUAAAACAAUUAAUACAGCCCAUCCAACAUAUUGCCAAGCUGGAGCAUUAGAAAAAAAAAAUAAAAAAAAUCUUUUUUUUUUAUCUUCUAAAGUUCGAGCAUAAUAUUCAUUUUGAUGGGAAUCGAUUCGACUCGUGAGGGUCUACGAGUCUACAAAGAAGAAUGGUCCAGCUGUGGCGGAGGAAUAAGUUGCAAAGGUUGUGUGUACAUUGCAGCACGCUUCAAAGCAUCCAUUGGACCGAGGGGCUGUUCGUUUGGUAAACUGGAUGAGUUAUCAAGAUACAGUAUCUGAACGCGGUAUCCAAACGCAAUAUCCAAAUGAUGUUCGUUUCAGUUUUUG